This 253-nucleotide ribosomal RNA is filed under the name uncultured bacterium. RNAcentral's name for it is "partial 16S ribosomal RNA". It matches the Rfam family "Bacterial small subunit ribosomal RNA", at positions 524 to 776 of the family's 1533-position model. The record is from RNAcentral.
UACGGGGGGGGCAAGCGUUGUUCGGAAUUACUGGGCGUAAAGGGCUCGUAGGCGGCCAACUAAGUCGGACGUGAAAUCCCCAGGCUCAACCUGGGAACUGCGUCUGAUACUGGAUGGCUUGAAUCCGGGAGAGGGAUGCAGAAUUCCAGGUGUAGCGGUGAAAUGCGUAGAUAUCUGGAGGAACACCGGUGGCGAAGGCGGCAUCCUGGACCAAUUCUGACGCUGAGGAGCGAAAGCCAGGGGAGCAAACGGG